Molecule: ribosomal RNA, 254 nt
Filed under: uncultured bacterium
Lineage: Bacteria
Description: partial 16S ribosomal RNA
Rfam family: Bacterial small subunit ribosomal RNA
Source: RNAcentral
UACAUGGGGUGCAAACGUUGCUCGGAAUUAUUGGGCGUAAAGCGCGCGUAGGCGGUUACUCAAGUCGGAUGUGAAAGCCCUCGGCUUAACUGAGGAAGUGCACCCGAAACUGAGUAGCUAGAGUACCAAAGAGGGUCGCGGAAUUCCCGGUGUAGAGGUGAAAUUCGUAGAUAUCGGGAGGAACACCGGUGGCGAAGGCGGCGACCUGGGUGGAUACUGACGCUGAGGCGCGAAAGCGUGGGGGAGCAAACAGG